AACGAACGCUGGCGGCAUGCCUAACACAUGCAAGUCGAACGAGACCUUCGGGUCUAGUGGCGCACGGGUGCGUAACGAGUGGGGACCUGCACUUAGGUUCGGAAUAACUCCCCGAAAGGGGUGCUAAUAACGGAUAAUCUCUUCGGACCAAAGAUUUAUCGCCUUUGGAUGGGCCCGCGUUGGAUUAGCUAGUUGGUAGGGUAAAAGCCUACCAAGGCGACGUUCCUUAGCUGGUCUGAUAGGAUGGCCAACCACACUGGGACUGAGACACGGCCCAGACUCCUACGCGACGCAGCAGUAGGUAAUAUUGGACAAUGGACGAAAGCCUGAUCCAGCAAUGCCGCGUAAGUGAGGAAGGCCUUUGGGUUGUAAAGCUCUUUUACCCGGGAUGAUAAUGACAGUACCGGGAGAAUAAGCACCGGCUAACUCCGUG
This 433-nucleotide ribosomal RNA is filed under the name uncultured bacterium. RNAcentral describes it as "partial 16S ribosomal RNA". It matches the Rfam family "Bacterial small subunit ribosomal RNA", at positions 29 to 507 of the family's 1533-position model. The record is from RNAcentral.